Bos grunniens (domestic yak) is the source of this 5259-nucleotide long non-coding RNA. NCBI's taxonomy places the organism in Eukaryota, Metazoa, Chordata, Mammalia, Artiodactyla, Bovidae. The record is from Ensembl.
GAAGCAACAGUUAGAGCCUGACAUGGAACGACAGACUGGUUCCAAAUUGGGAAAGGAGUAUGUCAAGGCUGUAUAUUUGUCACCCUGCUUAUUUAACUUUUAUUCAGAGAACAUCAUGUGAAAUGCCAGGCUGGAUGAAGCACAAGCUGGAAGCAAGAUUGCUGGGAGAAAUAUCAAUAACCUCAGAUAUGCAGAUAACACCACCCUAAUUGCAGAAAGCUAACAGGAACCUAAGGAGCCUCUUGGUGAAGGUAAAAGAGGAGAGUGAAAAAGUUGGCUUAAAACUCAACUUCAGAAAACUAAGAUCAUGGCAUCCAGUCCCAUCACUUCAUGGCAAAUAGAUGGGGAAACAGUGGCUGACUUUAUUUUUGGGGGCUCCAAAAUCACUGCAGAUGGUGCCUGCGGCCAUGAAAUUAAAAGAUGCUUGCUUCUUGGAAGGAAAACUAUGACAAACCUGCUGCUGCUGCUGCUAAGUCACUUCAGUCGUGUCCGACUCUGUGCGACCCCAGAGACGGCAGCCCACCAGGCUCCUCUGUCCAUGGGGGUUCUCCAGACAAGAAUACUGGAGUGAGUAUCACUCUAGGAAUCUUUCCUCCUCCAGGGGAUCUUUCUAACCCAGAGAUUGAACCCAGGUCUCCCUCAUUGCAGGUGGAUUCUUUACCAGCUGAGCUACCAAGGAAGCCCGCCCAAACUCCCUACCUCUUACCUUUAAAAAAAAAAAAAAAAAGAGCCAAAGAAAGAAAGCAAAGCAACUCAGUUGAGUAAAUGACCAUAAGUCGGCAUAGUGUCAAAGAGGAAAUGGCAUAUUUUGAAGUCAAAUUUUUAUUUACAUUGAGGUUGUGGGACCUUGGACGUGUCAUCAAAGCUCUCUGAAUAUCAACUUCAUAUUCUACUAACUUGGGAUAAUCAUGCCUACCUGAUUGCUUCAGCAGCACAUAUACUAAAAUUGGAACGCUAUACAGAAGAUUAGCAUGGCCCCUCAGCAAGCAAAUCAGAUCCCUUAUGAUUAUACAGUGGAAGUGACAAAUAGAUUCAAGGGAUUAGAUCUGAUAGAGUCCCAGAAGAACUAUGGAUAGAGGUUCAUAAUACUGUAAAGAAGGUGGUAAUCAAAACCAUCCCCCAGAAAAAUACAAGUCAAAAAGGUUGUCUGAGGAGGCCUUACAAAUAGCUGAGAAAAGAAGAGAAGCAAAAAGCAAAGGAGAAAGGGAAAGAUAUACCCAAUUGAAUGUAGAGUUCUAAAGAAUAGCAAGGAGAGAUAUGAAAGCCUUCUUCAGUGAACAAUGCAAAACAAAGAAAUAGAGGAAAACAAUAGAAUGGGAAAGACUAGAGAUCGCUUCAAGAAUAUUAGAGAUACUGAGGGAAUAUUUCAUGCAAAGAUGGGCACAAUAAAGGACAGAAACACUAUGGACCUAACAGAAAAAAGCAGAGACAUCACUUUACCAACAAAGAUCCAUAAGCUAUGGUUUGUGAGAGCUGGACCAUAAAGAAAGCUGAGUGCUGAAGAAUUGAUGCUUUUGAACUGUGGUGUUGGAGAAGACUCUUGAGAGUCCCUUGGACAGCAAGGAGAUCAAACCAGUCAAUCCUAAAGGAAAUCUGUCCUGAAUAUUCAUUGGAAGGACUGAUGCUGAAGCUCCAAUAUUUUGGCCAACUGAUGUGAAGAACUGUCUUCUUAGAAAAGACCCUGAUUCUGGGAAAGACUGAAGGUAGGAGAAGAAGGGGACAACAAAGGAUGAGAUGGUUGGAUGGCAUCACUGACUCAAUGGACAUAAGUUUGAGCAAGCUUCAGGAGCUGGUAAUGGACAGGGAAGCCUGGCGUGCUGCAGUCCAUGGGGUCGAAAUGAGUGGGACAUGACUGAGCAACUGAACUGAACUGAACUGAAAAGAAGCAGAAGAGAUUAAGAAGAGGUGGCAAGAAUACAUGAAAGAACUGUAUAAGAAAGGUCUUAAUGGCUCAGAUAACCAUGAUACUGUGAUCACUCACCUAGAGCCAGACGUUCUGGAGUCCAAAGUCAAGUGGGCCUUAGGAUUCAGACAUGACUGAGUGACUGAACAACAAGAAGCAUGACACACAAGUUCAUGAAGUGUUCCAUAUUUUUUACACAAAAAUAAACUCAAAAUGGCUUAUAGACCUAAACAUAAGACAUAACACUAUAAAACUCGUAGAAGAGAUCACAGGAAAAACAUUUUCUGACACAAACUAUACCAAUGUUUUCUUAGAUCAGUCUCCCAAGGCAACAGAAACAAAAAACAAACUUAAACAAAAACAAAAAACAAAAACAACAAACAAAAAAGCAAACAAUCAGACUCACAAGCUUUUGCAUAGCAAAGGAAACCAUAAGGAAAACAAAACCAAAAUAACCUAUGGCAUGGGAGGAAAUAUUUGCAAACAGUAUGACCAAGAAGGGCUUAAUUUCCAAAAUAUCCAAACAGCUCUCAGUACAACAAAAAAAGCAAACAACCCAACUGCAAAAUGGAAAGGAGGAGACUUCCCUGGUGGCCCAGUUGCAGGCUGUGCUCCCAAUGCAGGGGCUCUGGGCUUGAUCGCUAGUCAGGGAACUAGAUCCCACAUGCUGCAAUCAAGAGUUCACGCCACAGCUAAAAGAUCCCCCAUGCCACGAUGAAGAUGGAAGGUCCUGUCUACCACAACUAAGACCCAGCACAGCCAGAUAAAUAAGUAUGAAGGAGGAAAAAAGAAAAACGGGCAGAAGACCUAAACAGACGUUUCUCCAAAGAAGAAAUACAGAUGACCAGUAGGUUCAUGAAAAGAUGAUCUACAUCACUAAUUAUUAGAGAAAUGCAAAUCAAAACUACAAUGAGGUACCAGCACCUACUAGUCAGAAUGGUCAUCAUUAAAGAGUCAACAAAUAAAAAAUGCUGGGCAGGGUGUGGAGAAAGGGAACUCUCCUAUGGCUGCUGGUGAGGAUGUAAGUUGGGGAGCCACUGUGGAAAACAGUAUGGAAGAUUCUCUGAAAACAAAAAAUAGAAUGACCAUAUAUCCAGCAAUUCCACUUCGGGCAUAGAUCUGGGCAAAACUAUAAUUCAACAAGAGACAUGCAGCCCUGUGUUCACAGUGGGACUGUGCACAAUAACCAAGACAUGGAAACAACCCAGAUGUCUAUUUACAGGUGAGUGGAUAAGGAAGAUGCAGCACAUAUAGACAGUGGAAUAUUACCCAGCCAUGAAAGAGAACAAAAUAAUGCCAUUUGCAGCAACAUGGAUAGAACGAGAGAUGAUCAUACUAAGAGUAAGUCAGAAAGAGAGACAAACAUCCUAUGAUAUCACUUAUCUGCAGAAUCUAAGAUGUGAUACAAAUGAACCUAUCUAUGAAACAGAAACAGAAUCACGGACACAGAGGAGAGACUGGUGGUUGUCAAGGGGGAGGGCGCUGGGGGAGGGAUGGAGUAGGAGUUUGGGAUUAGCAGAUGCCAACUGGUAUAUAUACAUAACAGAUAAAUAACAAGGUCCUACUGUGUAGUACAGAGAACUAUAUUCAAUAGCCUAUGAUAAAGCACAAUGGAAAAGAAUAUAUAAAAAAGAAUGUAUAUCUGUAACUGAAUCACUUUGCUGUACAGCAGUAAUUAAUACAACACUGUAAAUCAACUGCACUUUAAUUAAAAAAAAAAAUCACACCUACCUGAUAGGCUAACGUGAGUGCCAACUGAGGUAGGUCACGCAGAGGCCUGUCCUGGGGCUCUUGGUGCACAGGAGGGUCCUGCCAUCUGGAGGUGUGUCUUAAAGCACUGCUGUUGAGUCCUGGCUACCUUCCCUCUCCAAGGUGCUUUAGCGAGAGAAGCCUUUUCCUAGCGCGGUGUCAAGGAAGAGAGUUUCAGGAAAAAGCAGAUCUGGGGACCAGGAGGUAGUGAAGCAGGACUCAGAGUGGCAGAGGGUUCUGGGAAGCCCUGGGCCCCUGGAGAAGCUGGUGGGAAACAGCUUCUAAAUGAAAUGUGGUGCUGGAGAAGACUCUUGAGAGUCCCUUGGACAGCAAGGAGAUCAAACCAGUCAAUCCUAAAGGAAAUCAAUCCUAAAUAUUCAUUGGAAGGGCUGAUGCUGAAGCCGAAGCACCAAUUCUUCAGCACCAAUUCUCUUUGCCACCUGAUGCAAAGAGCCAACUCGUUGGAAAAGACUCUGAUGCCGGGAAAGAUUGAGGGCAGAGGACGAGCUGACAGGAUGGCAUCACCGAAUCAGUAAACCCCAGGGGACAGUGAAAGACAGGGAAGCCUGGCACGCUGCUAUCCGUAGGGUCAUAAAGAUUCAGACAUGACUGAGUGACUGAACAACAAGAAGCAUGACACACAAGUUCAUGAAGUGUUCCAUAUUUUUUACACAAAAAUAAACUCAAAAUGGCUUAUAGACCUAAACAUAAGACAUAACACUAUAAAACUCGUAGAAGAGAUCACAGGAAAAACAUUUUCUGACACAAACUAUACCAAUGUUUUCUUAGAUCAGUCUCCCAAGGCAACAGAAACAAAAACAAACUUAAACAAAACAAAAACAAAACAACAAACAAAAAGCAAACAAUCAGACUCACAAGCUUUUGCAUAGCAAAGGAAACCAUAAGGAAAACAAAACCAAAAUAACCUAUGGCAUGGGAGGAAAUAUUUGCAAACAGUAUGACCAAGAAGGGCUUAAUUUCCAAAAUAUCCAAACAGCUCUCAGUACAACAAAAAAAGCAAACAACCCAACUGCAAAAUGGAAAGGAGGAGACUUCCCUGGUGGCCCAGUUGCAGGCUGUGCUCCCAAUGCAGGGGCUCUGGGCUUGAUCGCUAGUCAGGGAACUAGAUCCCACAUGCUGCAAUCAAGAGUUCACGCCACAGCUAAAAGAUCCCCCAUGCCACGAUGAAGAUGGAAGGUCCUGUCUACCACAACUAAGACCCAGCACAGCCAGAUAAAUAAGUAUGAAGGAGGAAAAAAGAAAAACGGGCAGAAGACCUAAACAGACGUUUCUCCAAAGAAGAAAUACAGAUGACCAGUAGGUUCAUGAAAAGAUGAUCUACAUCACUAAUUAUUAGAGAAAUGCAAAUCAAAACUACAAUGAGGUACCAGCACCUACUAGUCAGAAUGGUCAUCAUUAAAGAGUCAACAAAUAAAAAAUGCUGGGCAGGGUGUGGAGAAAGGGAACUCUCCUAUGGCUGCUGGUGAGGAUGUAAGUUGGGGAGCCACUGUGGAAAACAGUAUGGAAGAUUCUCUGAAAACAAAAAAUAGAAUGACCAUAUAUCCAGCAAUUCCACUUCGGCAUAGAUCUGGGCAAAACUAUAAUUC